This 253-nucleotide ribosomal RNA is filed under the name uncultured bacterium. Its description in RNAcentral is "partial 16S ribosomal RNA". It matches the Rfam family "Bacterial small subunit ribosomal RNA", at positions 524 to 776 of the family's 1533-position model. The record is from RNAcentral.
UACGGAGGAUCCGAGCGUUAUCCGGAUUUAUUGGGUUUAAAGGGUGCGUAGGCGGUUUGAUAAGUUAGAGGUGAAAUGUCGGGGCUCAACCCCGAAACUGCCUCUAAUACUGUUGGACUAGAGAAUAGUUGCGGUAGGCGGAAUGUAUGGUGUAGCGGUGAAAUGCUUAGAGAUCAUACAGAACAUCGAUUGCGAAGGCAGCUUACCAAACUAUAUCUGACGUUGAGGCACGAAAGCGUGGGUAGCAAACAGG